GACGAACGCUGGCGGCGUGCCUAAUACAUGCAAGUAGAACGCACAGUUUAUACCGUAGCUUGCUACACCAUAGACUGUGAGUUGCGAACGGGAGAGUAACGCGUAGGUAACCUGCCUGGUAGCGGGGGAUAACUAUUGGAAACGAUAGCUAAUACCGCAUAAUAUUAAUUAUUGCAUGAUAAUUAAUUGAAAGGUGCAAUUGCACCACUACCAGAUGGACCCGCGUUGUAUUAGCUAGUAGGUGAGGUAACGGCUCACCUAGGCGACGAUACAUAGCCGACCUUGGGAGGUGGUCCGCCACACUGGGACUUGGGCACCGCCCCGGCCCCUUCGGGGGGCCGCCGUAGGGAAUCUUCGGCAAUGGCCGAAAGUCUUACCGAGCCACGCCGCGUGGGUGGAGAAGGGUUUCGGGUCGUUAAGCUCUGUUUUAAGGGAAGGACGGGUGUGAUAGUUGACAGUUCACACUGUGACGGUAUCUUACCAGAAAGGGACGGCUAACUACGUG
Molecule: ribosomal RNA, 505 nt
Filed under: uncultured bacterium
Lineage: Bacteria
Description: partial 16S ribosomal RNA
Rfam family: Bacterial small subunit ribosomal RNA
Source: RNAcentral